UUGGCAGGGUUCGAAAAAUUAAAAAAAAAAAAAAAAAACCUGGGAUUUUGUUUUCCAGCGGAAUUUGAAUUGUGUGAAGUUAGAUGUGAUAUGGUACGGUAACACCUCGCAGUUACACAGUAGAGCGUGAAAGAAAGAAGAUAACAGAAAAAAGAAAAAUCAGAACCUCUUCCACACCCAAUCUUUCUUCUCUCACCAAACCCAAACCCAAACCCAAACCCUUUUUUCUUCCCUCUUUUCAAAAAUCACAACCCUAGAACACAAAAACAAAAACCCGUGUGUUUUUGUGUUUUUGUUUUUGAUUUUUCCCAGAAACACAGAGACAGAGAGAGAGAGAAUGAUCGAUUGAUGAGUUGUGGAGAGGAAUAGGAAUCGAUCGAUCGUUCACAAUUCCAGACCAGAGGCAUUGGCCAGUAGUGGCGGCAGGAGGAGUGUUGCAGUGGAGCAUUUUACCUCAAUUAAGGAUUGCCCCAAAUUCAAUGUUCUCAACCCCAUUUGUGUUAACCUUCUCCCUCCUCCUCUCCCUCCCAAUCCUCUUCUUCCUUGCUCCAAGGAUCCUUCCUCCCAAACCCCACUCUCUACCAAUCUCACCCUCCGACGAACUCGAUGACAUCAACCUCUUCAACCGCGCCAUCACCCUCGCCAAUUCUCGCGCCUCCACCGCCUCCGCCACCAACCCCUCCAAAUUCUUCCAUCUCUCAUCCAAAAACCCCUCUCUCAAAAUAGCCUUCCUUUUCCUCACAAACACCGAUCUCCACUUCUCACCCCUCUGGGACCUCUUCUUCCACGACACCCCUUCCAACCUCUUCAACAUCUACAUCCACGCCGACCCCUCCGUCAACAUCACGCGCCCUCUCUCGCCCCUCUUCGCCAACAAAUUCAUCCCCUCCAAACGCACCUUCCGCGCCUCCCCCACCCUCAUCUCCGCCACGCGCCGCCUCCUCGCCACUGCCCUCCUCGACGACCCCGCCAACGCCUACUUCGCCCUCCUCUCCCAGCACUGCGUCCCUCUCCACUCCUUCACCUACACCUACCACUCCCUCCUCGUCUCCCCCACCUUCGACUCCUCCGAUCCUGAAUCCUCCCGCAUCGGCAUCCGCCUCAAGUACAAAUCUUUCAUCGAAAUCCUCUCCCACGCUCCUAGGCUCUGGAAACGGUACUCCUCCCGCGGCCGCUACGCCUUGAUGCCCGAAGUCCCCUUUGAAAAGUUCCGCGUCGGCUCCCAAUUCUUCGCCCUCACGCGCCGCCACGCUCUCCUCGUCGUCAAGGACCGAACCCUCUGGAGGAAAUUCAAGAUCCCCUGUUACCGCGACGACGAAUGCUACCCCGAGGAGCAUUACUUUCCCACGCUCUUGUCCAUGGCAGAUCCUGAUGGCUGCACCAAAUACACGCUCACCAGAGUUAAUUGGACCGGCACCGUCAACGGACACCCCUAUACUUACCGGCCUUCGGAAGUCUCGUCGGAACUCAUUCUCCGGCUCCGCCAGUCCAAUAAUUCUGAGUCUUACCUAUUCGCCAGGAAAUUCACCCCGGAUUGCUUGGAACCCUUGAUGCGCAUUGCCAAAUCUGUCAUCUUCAAGGAUGGAAAUUUCAAGCACGCAGGUGGAAAAGGUCAAUGAAAAGAUUUAUGAAAAGAUCAUAUUGCUUUGGCCAUGGCUUGAUGGUGGUGUAUAGUUUGAAGAGGCACGUACAGCCCACAUCCUAUAUAUCCCGUGCUUUCAAAUUACUAAAGAGAGAAUCAGAUCAAAAUAGGAAGAGCCAAGAAACAGAUAAGCAUAAAUGGCUUCUAUAACCCACGACAAAAUUGAAACUUGUCGGUGCUGCUGGUUCUGUUCUCUUUCUCAAUAAAAAAAAUGGACCCCAGAGGACAGGAAAGUCGCAAACUUCUGAUGUGUGGGGGACCACGCCUCACGUAGAGACAGUUGGCUUCCAUUUAGUUAUCUAGACACGUUGUACACAGACAAGAGAUCAACUUCUAGUUUGUAUCUCUGAAUUCACUGAGAUUUCCUUUUUAUUUUUAACCUCAUUCUGAAACCUGACAAAAAUAUAGUAAGUUAUUUUGUUAUUUUAGGAUGUCGGUGUUGGUUAAUCCUGUGAACUAUUUUAAAGUGUUUUCAUUUACUCAAUACAGUAUAUAAUAUGAUUGAACCCCCCUCUGUACAGCAACAUUUGAACUGUAACCUUCACAG
Vigna radiata var. radiata (mung bean) is the source of this 2189-nucleotide RNA transcript. RefSeq lists it as uncharacterized. The record is from RefSeq and is a predicted model, not a curated record. The transcript has 3 exons. Lineage: Eukaryota; Viridiplantae; Streptophyta; Magnoliopsida; Fabales; Fabaceae.